This is a long non-coding RNA of Pistacia vera, 225 nucleotides long. RefSeq lists it as uncharacterized. Lineage: Eukaryota; Viridiplantae; Streptophyta; Magnoliopsida; Sapindales; Anacardiaceae. The transcript has 2 exons. The record is from RefSeq and is a predicted model, not a curated record.
GUAUAAAUUGGCCUUGCUUGUAGUAUCUGGCAGAGAAGUAUCCUUAGCAUCCAUUUUUGCCUUCUGAUCUUAAGACAAAAGCUAUCAAUUUUCAGGAAAUCAUAAGAUAAAGAAUGAACACCCGGAUGAUAGCCAAUGUAUUGUCAAUGAUAGAGUGAAAUGCAUCUAAGGUCACCAGAACGGUUGGAGGAGUAGCUCGUCUUAGUUGAUCAACAAAAAGAGAAA